Molecule: long non-coding RNA, 3128 nt
Filed under: Homo sapiens (human)
Lineage: Eukaryota; Metazoa; Chordata; Mammalia; Primates; Hominidae
Description: HSALNT0133438
Source: RNAcentral
ACACAAUUCUCAAAUGCUGUUAGGCUUUGACUGGUUCCCCUCUCUCUCAACCCUAUGCAUAGUGGAACAGGGAGAUCUUUGCAAAAGUAUCCAGUGCAUCUGCAAAAGUAUAAAAGAUAUGUGAUUUUUGUUUCAUUUACAUACUAGAUUCUCUUUCUUAUUCUGUAUCCAAAAAAAAUUGUUUAUCUAGGUAAGAAUGGGAACACAAAACGAUAGCCAAGCCAUCUUAAUGGGAGCAUCAAUCAAAACAGUGUGAUAUUGUCUGUGGAUACACGAUGCUGUGGAUGAGUAUGAACAGAGAAAGGCAGGCUCAUUUCAGUUUCUGUGAAAAGCUUAGCAAAAGGUGUUUUCUUGAGGGUAGAACCUUUGUCAUACUGUGUUCAUGUCCACAUAUGUGGCACCUGGCUGUGGAUUUGAACAGGUUCUUCUCUUCCUUUCUCCUGUGAAGAACAAUUUAAAUCAACCUAAAUCAGACUAUUUCAACACAUCUUUCCCUCUUCUUACACAAAGCAUCCUAUUUUCAUAUCAUUUAAUUCUGAGGUGCAUGCUCUGGCAAUUGCUCUUCCAAUGUUUAAAUCUCAUUGCACAGCAAGGCACUGUUUGUUGGUCACUUUGGAGUGUUUGAAGAUUACGGCUAAAAAAAACACAAUUUUCUAUGUUAUGUGGCUGAAAAGAAAAGCGUCCUUAUCUUUCUGGGAAAUUCAUUUUCUUAGACAAAGCAUCCAACAGAGGGAUAAAGGUACAGAGUUGCUUGACAGGCAGUGAGGUUGGUGAAAUCACACAAAGCAAUCAGUGAAUGGAAACAUGAUCCAGCCCAAUAAUCCAGUUUCCCGUAUUCAUAAAGAUUGUUAGAAGAGAUUGUCUAUCCUAGAGAAGGUGGGCUAAUUGAAGUGAGUUGAACUAGUUAUUUCUAUAUAAAGCUAUUGUUUCUUAAAUUCCUGACCUGGCUGUUGCAGAUGGUUUUGGGGAGUUCUUUAGUUCUUUCAUUUCUUACUUUAUCUUGUACCUGAAUAAAACAGCCUGCGUAUGAAUUCUUUGUAGUACUUUGUGCUGCAGGGUUUCAAAAAGCCAUAAUGAAGCACAUUGCUACUAAAAUUCUCUUCACAUAUCAUCUUUUGAGUUAUUAUGUUAAAAAAGCUCUCAGUAGCCUAUAGUCAAAAUUAUUAAAAUCCUCUCCAUUGUAGAGGUUAAGAAAGUGAUAAUUAAGACUCUCUGGUAGACCCCUAAAUGAUAAACAGCAUUUUACAACAAAUAGGAGGUCAAUGUAUAUUUUAGAGAGUUAACAUUGACCAUAUUGAGUUUACCUAGGCCCUCCAGGCUAUAUUUUAUAAUCAACUCCCACUCCCAAAUAACAACAAGAAAUUUUUUCUUAUGUAUAUGUGUUUUUAUGAUGAAACCAUUGGUUUUAUGUACAACUCCUACUGCUUGAUUAAUACGAUUUAUUUCAUUCAACUUGAUAGAUUAUAUUAACAAGGGAUGGAGCAGGGGAUUGUGUAUAGUGCCUGGGCAAUAAAUCUAGGAACUAUUUAAGUUCUAUACCCCAUGAUUAGUAACAUUUACCAAUGACGCUUAGCUUGCUAUGUAAAACACUAUAGCAUUUUACUUUCAUUUGCACACGGGUAAAAUGUACAAGAAAUCAUAGAACUAUAGAGAUGGAGGGAAAGCCUCUCAUCUACCCUCUCUGAAGUUUCACUGAAAUGAAUGACAAUUGACAGAUUAAGAGGAGAAAGGGUAUACAAAUUUAUUAACAUUCAUAAGCAUAGAAACUAUAUAAAAUAUGAGACUCAGAGCAAAGCUAGAUGGUUGAGGCUUAUAUGCCCUCUUCAUGAGGGAGAGGAAGAUGGCAGAAAUAUAGCCAAUUUGAAGGAUUGUAAAUAAUUUUAGGGGAACUUAAAUAGCCCAAAGAACAGACAGUUGGCUUGGGACAAGUUUCCUCUGAGCUCUGGGGGAGAUGGUGGCAAACUGCAAGAAGGUGUGGGGCGGAACUUCACCGUGAGCAAGGUUGUCUUAUAAUGCCGAUAAUCUUCCAAGUAAUCUCUAGGAGCUACGCUCAGGAUAAUAAAUGAAAGGUCGUCUGGGUGUACUGACGAUUUUUAGUGAUUAGUCUUUUCUGGUUAUUAGAUGAAGUUCCUAAGAAGGGACUAUUAAGACAAUUGCAUUUCUAAUGUUGGAACUUUCCUUCAUUAGAUAAGGAAAUUUCCUCUUAGUGCUCAGGAAAGAAAGAGGAUCAGAGGGGCAGGAGUGCAGGAGAAGGUUAGAGAGAGACCUUAGUUCUGAGACUUAUUUUUGAGGCCUUUCAACUUCCUUUAAUUCAAAGCAAGAAGAAUGCCAAAGUGUCAUAUUUUGGAAUAUUAUUUUCUGAGCCCCAACAAAGCUUAAAUAAGAAGAAUACAACAAAUCAGGUACAGAAAUUAUUAAGAUAAUCACACAGUUCCAGGCUUCCUCCUCAUUCUGCCUGCUCAAAGAGUUAUGGCUUUGUCUGGUCCUAUUUCCUAUUGUUUCCUACCUUUCACAGAAAAAGUUGUCAGUAUUUUAAACUCUUGUGAGCUAGAAUUUGAAGAAGCUGGGGGGUAUGGAGGAGCAAUACAAAGACAAAAAUUCCUGAGGGCAGGAUUGAGAAAUGCCCUCAAAUUCCACCUUUCCUGGUUUAGAUUCCAUGAUCCAUCACCCUUCGUUCCUUAAAAUCUCUCCAUGGUACUGGUUUGACCAAACUCAACUGUAAUGAAUCCAAUCUGUGCACAUACUCCCUAAAAUGCACCUCUCCAGAAUCCUCCAAUAGAAUCAAAGAUUCUAUUCCUCAGAUUUAUUGGAGCUCCCUCCUUUCCGACCUUUAAAUGUUGGCAUGCCCAGGGUUUAUUCUUCCACGUGGCAUCUCCAGGUAAUCUCCUCAGGUUUUACAGUUCCUUAACAUGUGAUUCACACUGAUAACCCAGAUGACUUCAUGAUGUCUUAGCUCCAGACUAAAAAAUCCACCAUGCUCCUGUAAAAUACAGCUUUAUCAUGUUCGGCACCCUUUUGUUUUAGAAGAGAUUGUCUCCUUGGAAGACCUGUUUGGAAGAUUCAGUCAAGGAUUCUUGGAAAUGUUGUUUGCAUUCUGGCUGACCUGAAAGAAUAAUUAUAAUAAAUCA